GCCGGGUGUGGUGGCGGGCACUUGUAGUCCCAGCUACCUGGGAGGCUGAGGCAGGAGAAUUGCUUGAACCCAGGAGGUGGAGGUUGCAGUGAGCCGAGAUCACACCACUGCACUCCAGCCUGGGCAACAGAGCAAGAUUCUGUCUCAA
This 148-nucleotide non-coding RNA is filed under the name Nomascus leucogenys (northern white-cheeked gibbon). Lineage: Eukaryota; Metazoa; Chordata; Mammalia; Primates; Hylobatidae. The record is from Rfam by way of RNAcentral.